Molecule: ribosomal RNA, 419 nt
Filed under: uncultured Glomeromycotina
Lineage: Eukaryota; Fungi; Glomeromycota
Description: SSU rRNA
Rfam family: Eukaryotic small subunit ribosomal RNA
Source: RNAcentral
ACGUACUGGCAUUGUUGGUUUCUCCCUUCUGACGAACCAUGAUGUCAUUUAUUUGGUGUUGUGGGGAAUCAGGACUGUUACUUUGAAAAAAUUAGAGUGUUUAAAGCAGGCUCACGCUUGAAUACAUUAGCAUGGAAUAAUGAAAUAGGACGUUUGAUUCUAUUUUGUUGGUUUCUAGGAUCGACGUAAUGAUUAAUAGGGAUAGUUGGGGGCAUUAGUAUUCAAUUGUCAGAGGUGAAAUUCUUGGAUUUAUUGAAGACUAACUACUGCGAAAGCAUUUGCCAAGGAUGUUUUCAUUAAUCAAGAACGAAAGUUAGGAGAUCGAGGACGAUCAGAUACCGUCGUAGUCUUAACCAUAAACUAUGCCGACUAGGGAUCGGAUGAUGUUAAUUUUUUAAUGACUCAUUCGGCGCCUUACG